CACCGGCUCACACUUAGAAUUUAAAAAGGACAAAAUCGCCGAAGCAAAGGUAUAAAAAAUUUAUUAAACGAAACAGCGCUGAAUCGGGUGCAUCUCAAAGUAGAGGCACCCCAACCCGUUAGCUUUUUGAUGUUUUAUACCCUUAUCCCGGCAGCCUGAGUUACUGUCUCCCUUCUCAUUGCCUGAGAAGUUGGAGCUCACAUUCUUCCCGACCGCCUGACCUAUUAUAGAUAAAGCACAUAUAUCUGUUCUACAAAAUUAUUAUUCUAAACACCCCGCUAUAUGUUUGCCAUCACCUGCUGUCCAAUAUUAGUGGUUACAAGUACUCUGGUGGUCAUAUCUUCAUUAGUUACCCUCCAGGUGGCCUUCGUCCACUUAUCAGUCUCCACUGUCCGUUGUCCACUUCUCACUCUUCACCGUCCGUUGUCCACUUAUCAGUCUGCCACCAAUUUUUGGUUACCCUUCACCUAGAUAACACUUCAGAGUCAAGAACCCCUGGACAGCCCCAAGGCGCCUCCCAGGAUCAGUCGGACACAAGGGAUAGGACUCCACUAUAUCUGAAUUACCUUUAUCAAUACAGACAUGCUAACAGAGAAAAGAAAAAAAUAAUAUAUCAAUUAGCUGAAGCAAAAUUCAGCCUGUUUCUCACAGGGAUGACCUCGGCUCUAGCUGUGACUGUGGUAACUGGGAGUGUUAGUGCUGCCAGGUCCCUCCUGCGCUUGGGGACUCGCUGGAAUACUGAGGAACAGCCCCGUCCUGGCUCCCCGCACAUCGCAGGCUGUAAUCCUCUAAUCCUGCCUCUUGUUGCCCACCCCCUCGGGCCGCUGCUGCUCCCCCCACAAGCCCUCACCCCCUGGAGCCAGAUGAGCUGGAGGGUGAACCCCACUGUGCUACCUGGCGCCAGUGGCAGAGGGCAAUCAGAAGAGUGCCCUGACACCAGGCAGGAGGCUUUUAUCCAAUGGUAGGAUGAAUACUUUUACCAAAUAAAAAAGCUGGCUCUGUUCUCUGCCA
Molecule: long non-coding RNA, 1011 nt
Filed under: Calidris pugnax (ruff)
Lineage: Eukaryota; Metazoa; Chordata; Aves; Charadriiformes; Scolopacidae
Description: lncRNA (ENSCPUG00000019327.1)
Source: RNAcentral